Molecule: long non-coding RNA, 1122 nt
Organism: Bubalus bubalis (water buffalo)
Lineage: Eukaryota; Metazoa; Chordata; Mammalia; Artiodactyla; Bovidae
Exons: 2
Source: RefSeq, a predicted model, not a curated record
GUGAUCCAGUUCAGUGCAGGUGCCCUGGCAGGCCUGGGGACCAACGAUCAAAGCGCCUGAGCUGCCCCCAACUCCAGCGCCCAGGCCCGAGAUGGGUGCAUGCGAGCCUCGAGUCACACACACAGCGUGGAGAGGAGAUAUAAAACUAUAUUACCAGAAGAAGACUUCGGAUCUGACUCUGCUGAGAACCUCAGAAAGGACCAGGGGCUAACCAAGCACCAGUAGUCCCGUGUAGUGUCAUUGCCUCCUGGGAGCUGCAGGCUCUGCUUCUCACCGUGACCGAGUCUGCCGGGAAAAUGUCAGCCUCCAGAACAGGGUGGCCAUGGUGCAUGCAGGGCUGAGCCCAUGUCUCAUCAACCCAAACAGAGGAAGUGCUGUCCCAGCUGGGCCCAGACCAAAGGCCUGACCUGUGUUCCUCUCUCUCCCCUUGUCUCUCUUUGAUUUUUUUUAGUGUUUGUCUUUUUCUCUCUUUAAAAAUAUUUGGGACUUCCCAGUGUUUAACAUUCCACACUUCCAAGGCAGGGAGUGUUGGUUUGAUUCCUGAUUGGGGAACCAAGAUCCCAUAUAGCUCAGAGUGCCACGAAAAAAAAAAAAGAAAGUUUGAGUGUACUGUUGUAAGCCCUGGGAUAUAGCAGGGAACAAGCCAUUUGGGGUCCCUGCUAAUACUUCUAAUACAGGAGACACACACAAACAAGUAAAUAAGACAACUGCAGACCUGGAGGACAUCUGCAAUUUAGUGAAAGCACUGAAACACGUCAUGUGAUGGAGAGGCCCUGAGUUAGCCUAGAAAAAGGGAGAAGUAGGGGUCAGGGAACAUGGAGAUUAACCCAUGGUGAAGGCCAAGGGAGAGCAGGGCAGGCUGGGUUGAAGGGGAGUGCUCAGAUGACGGCUCAGAUGUCAUAGUAACUUACACUGAAAGAACAACUAUGAUGGUUACAAACACAAGCUCCGGACCAGACCUGGGUCCAGUUUCUGAUUUCACCCCUUCCCAACUACAGAGCCCCAGGAAAGUUGCUUAACCUCUCUGAGUCUUUCUCCUUUCAUCGUAAGAUGAGAAUGAUAAUUGUACCUCCCUCACAAGGCUGUGUUAAAGAUUAAAGGAGAGCUUAGUAUGGAACCUUA